RNAcentral lists this transfer RNA (87 nucleotides) under Kiritimatiellia bacterium. RNAcentral describes it as "tRNA-Leu". It matches the Rfam family "tRNA". Rfam says of the family: Transfer RNA (tRNA) molecules are approximately 80 nucleotides in length. Their secondary structure includes four short double-helical elements and three loops (D, anti-codon, and T loops). The record is from RNAcentral. Lineage: Bacteria; Pseudomonadati; Kiritimatiellota; Kiritimatiellia.
GCACCCGUGGUGAAACUGGCAUACACGCUAGGUUCAGGUCCUAGUGGCCGCAAGGCUGUGGAGGUUCAAAUCCUCUCGGGUGCACCA